Molecule: long non-coding RNA, 1533 nt
Organism: Papaver somniferum (opium poppy)
Lineage: Eukaryota; Viridiplantae; Streptophyta; Magnoliopsida; Ranunculales; Papaveraceae
Exons: 3
Source: RefSeq, a predicted model, not a curated record
UCUAUACAAUAUACAUCUCCGAGGUCUGCUGAGCUCUUUGCGGCACAAGAGGAAUACGAGAUCUAGAUUUUGUUUUGUGAGAUCACUAACUUCAUUUUCUACAUAGACAACUGAAAAAACUUGAGAGAAGGUUUGUGGAUUAAAGAAAGGAAGAUCAAGAAACAGAGGUAUGGAAGCAGCAGGUGUUAGUAAGAAGAAAUGUUAAUAAAUCCAAGUUGUUUUGAGUUUGGAUAUUCAAUAUGGGCGGAUUUGGAAUUGGGGUUUUCAUGUGCGAUGAUCUUUGUGGUUUCUCAAAAUUUUCACCUGCUUCUUUAAUUUUACUAUUAGGGUUAUGGAGGCAUGAAUUCCAUCACCUUGGCGAUUUCAUCUGUAGGCGGAGAAGCUGAAUUGCUCAUUGCCUUAUAUGUUCUUCAGACACCAAUAUCAUUCAUUACAGAAAGCAGCUCAUUCAUUACAGAAAGCAGCUCAGGACCUCAGGUAAUUUGAAAAACAUUACAAGCUAUGGUCAGGAGUGCGAAGUGAAUGACGAGGUGUUUUUUCUGGAUUAUGGUCACUACGAUGUUCUAGAAGAAAUUUCUUUUCAAAAAUUUGAAAGCCAAGAAACAGAAGAAAUUGCAAGGAUCGGAGAUAGUGUUGCCUCUGUCGAAGAAAUUGAAUUUUCAGUGAUGCAGUGAAGCUAGUGAUGUGGGUAGGAUGGAGAUGAUCUCUCCCAAUUCAGCCAACAAAUGGUUUGAGGAGAAGCUAAUUAUACACCUGGAGGGAUAUAUCUAAAGCUUAGAAUCAUGAAUAGACGAGGAACCUACUUCGUAUUGCAAUAUUCAGCAUCAGUUGUACAUAAAUCACUCCCUGCUUUAGAGAUGAAGAUCAAGAAACUCAUGCUUAAAGAUGCCGAAUCCAAAAGAUUUAUCAACUGGUCAGAAAAGGGCAUAUUGAUCUCCCUUGAUGAACAUGAAAUUUAGAUGGAGUGAAAAUUUGAGUGUCAUACAUGAAAUUUAGAUAGAGUUAGCGAGGGACUGGAUUGGCUCUCGCCACUUCGAUAGUGUUCAACUUGCUGAUGUACUCAAGAUGCAAUCAGCUCAUCUAAAUGCAGGAUUUGAUUGUUAGGUGCAGCAUUUGUCCCAGAAAUGCCAAAGUUGUAAAGCACAUGACGCAGAAAGUCCGGAUCAACUCUCCUAUUGACUAUACCUUUCAACCUGGCUGAACACCAACUCCGUACUUCCCAUUACCAGUUGAUCAUGAACUUCUGGCCUUCGACGAAUGCUUGGCUUCUAAGUCCCCAUGUUUCCCUCUGUCUCAGUAACUUUCAAUAUGCACCGUCUGAAGGUGAGAAAAGAAUCUGACUCCACUCCAGCUAGUAGAUGUACAGCCGAAGCAUUGGAUGGAAACAAAUGUCUUUUUAUUUCAGUAACUUUCAAUAUGCACCGUCUGAAGGUGAGAAAAGAAUCUGACUCCACUCCAGCUAGUAGAUGUACAGCCGAAGCAUUGGAUGAAAACAAAUGUCUUUUUAUUUCACUGGACUGGAUAAACUCUCGA